Molecule: RNA transcript, 1243 nt
Organism: Nymphalis io (European peacock)
Lineage: Eukaryota; Metazoa; Arthropoda; Insecta; Lepidoptera; Nymphalidae
Exons: 3
Source: RefSeq, a predicted model, not a curated record
GUCAAUAUUCUUAUCAGUAAGUGCUGUUGCUUGACAUUCUGGGAAUUAUUAGAAAGUAAUUUUUAUUUAUGCCCAUGAUACCGAAAGCCUAUAAAAACUUAUAACUAAACAAAUAGUUUGUUUUUUAUUAAGUGCGGCCGUUAUCGAAUCUGCUCCAAAACUUGGACAUGUUUUGUUUGAUCCAUUAUCGUAUGAAGCUAAACUCACAAGACGCUCAAAAGAAACAUAUGAUAGUCAAGACGAUUGGCUAGAGGAAAGCCUCCGAAUGCCAGCGAAGACAGAUAAAACGACAAAGAAACCUUGCCUGGGUUAUGAUUACGACGAAACUCUAUGCAAAACAGUCGACGAUAGAGUUAUUUGUGGUUACAAUAAAAAUAAAGGCAACAUUAGCGAUGUUAUUGCUGACUUAGGAAAUGGAUGUAGAAUUCGUGGUGGUAGACUAGAGUGUGGAUAUUUAGUAGGACCAUUCGAUAAUCCUAGACGACCACCAGCUAGAGAUACAGUAAAUAAUGGUGCCGAUAAUUCCUUAAGCCUUCGUUAUAGGCUGUCGAGAUCAUCAAUAUCAACCACUACACAAUUUACGAGUACUGUCAAAAAAAAUAAAGAUACAUUAAAUGUGACGACAUCAAAAGAAACAAAAAAUCCAAAAUUUAUUACCGAAAAUAUAACAAAUUCAAUUAUUUUGAACACAAAAAUUUUACCGGUUAUUACCUCAACUGUUAAAACGAGUUUGAUAAAUAAUUACACUGUUAAAACUGCGCCGCUAACUAACUUAUCGUCCAUAUCAAGAAGACAAUAUAAUGCUACAAAGUUAAGAAGGUUACUUUAUUAAGUAAAACUUCUUUACGCUGGCUUACAACUUCAUAUUAUAUAAUUACCUAUUUUAUAGCUUAAAAAAAUAUGAUAUGAAAAACAUCUGCUGAAUUAAAGCUGAAGAAACAGUACAAAAAAAUCUCUUGUAUAUUUUUUUGAUCAUUGAAUAGAAAGGUCUAUAAUAUUAUAUGCAAUUCUUGUACAUUGGUAUACUUGGUAUCUCGGAAACGUCACAAACGAUUUCAAACGGUCAAAUUUUAUAUUUAGAUAAGGCGUUUUAUGUUUAUCUAUAAUUACGUUUCGUAAAACGCAAUUUUUCACAGAAAAAAUAUAACUAAUUAUUAUUAGAGCCAUGCGAAGCUGGGUCGCCCAAGUACUUGACACAUUAAAUCGACAAAUUAAUAAAAAAAGUGCGAAGAAAAUAUUUUGU